GCUGAUACUGAUUUAAGAAAAAUUUAUUCUCCCGCAGAGCUGGAGUAUUAGCAUGGUGAGACACCAUACUCAAAGGAAGAAGAGACACCAUUGUCUUUCUCUCUUCUCCUGUGGGUCCUCAGCUGACUUCUCUAAAUUUCAUUGGUCAAAGUGGAGUCACAUGCUCCCUCCUGAGUUCAAAGAGGAAGUGAUGGAAAGGGUGUUGGGGUGACAGUUCCCACCACACCAUCCACAGCUUGCCUGCCGGUGAGCAGGCUGUCCCCGAUGCAGGUACAGCCCCCCAUCCCCACACCAGGCAGAGCAAAGGCAGACAGCUUUGACCAGAGCAGGGUUCAGGGUGGCAGUGCCAUCAGACGCCUCUGCUGUCUCCCUCAGGUGACUGUUUCUGUAAUGGCUGAGCUGUGUCUGGCUUCAGUCUGAACCAUCAGUUUCCAAACAGUGCUGCCUCUUCCCACCUCCCACACACGAGGUCACAGAGGACCUGCGAAAGCCGGGCUAGCACCUACCUUUCCCCCACUCAGCGCCUGAAUCUCGAUGCUUUGGAUGGUGCCGAGCCAGACUCGCUGGGCUCAUUCUCUCCGUCUCCUGCUGAAUUCUCUGGCUGCUUCUCAGCUGUCAGGGUGCCAAGCUCCAUCCUGACCGUCUCCUGGCUCCAGCCGCAGCAGGAAAUGGGCCUGACCGUUGUUCUUCCACAGCUGAUGAGAAAAGGGUGGAAGACAGCCGCUGGUGUGCUGGAAUUGUGUAAGUGUUGCCGAUGGAAAUGCAUUGUGUGAACAUCAUCCUGUGCACUGCAGCAGGAAAAGUUGGGAACGAAACUCCUUUAGGUUGUGAAGCAAGGAGCUUCUGGAAGACCCAUUAACAUAAAGCUUUGGAAACCAGCUUGGAAAUUUUGACAUGUCGUCACUUUCAUCUGCUAAGCAGCUUGCAAACAUCCUCUCCCUCUUUCCCAUGCCUCCCUCCAACUUCUCUGCUUCAGCCUGACCAUCUGAAUUUUUCCAGUGAGAUUGCAGACCCAGCAGGCUGGCUUCCACUUCUGAUGAGAGAUGGGAGGAUUGAGGAUAGGACCCGACAGGCUUCAGAAAAGCACCCUGUUUUGCUCUGUCUGCUGCCAGACCCAAAACCUGCCCACC
Molecule: long non-coding RNA, 1130 nt
Filed under: Fukomys damarensis (Damara mole-rat)
Lineage: Eukaryota; Metazoa; Chordata; Mammalia; Rodentia; Bathyergidae
Description: lncRNA (ENSFDAG00000029690.1)
Source: RNAcentral